Molecule: long non-coding RNA, 2003 nt
Filed under: Cucumis sativus (cucumber)
Lineage: Eukaryota; Viridiplantae; Streptophyta; Magnoliopsida; Cucurbitales; Cucurbitaceae
Description: long non-coding RNA (CSAT_LNC000917)
Source: RNAcentral
GUACUAUUUCUCACAAGAGUGGUGGGGCAAGACAAUGCCGAAGCAGCCAACAACGUUAGCAAGUGGACGGGAACUGUUUACAUUUUCUCUCUUCUUGGAGCUUUCCUUAGUGAUUCCUACUGGGGAAGGUUCAAGACUUGCGCCAUCUUUCAAGCCAUUUUCGUCGUUGUAAGUACUUUAACAAUAAUCACUUUCACUUCAAUUCUAAUAAUAAUAUACAAUAAUUGUCUAACUUUUUUUUUUCUUUUCUUUAAAUCACCUUUUAAAAAGUCAUAUGAAAAUUGCUCCAACAACUUCAUAAGUUGUAAUUAUUUUAUUUGUCUUUUAAUACCCUGUUUUAUAUGUCAAUAAUAACAAAGAAACGAUAUGACACAACAUAAAGAUUAUUUAGCGUGUAUGGAAUUAUUGACAUGAUGUUUAAGGGCGUCGUGUCAACUUUGUUAGGGUAUCUAUCAUAUUAUUGUUGUUGGUUGGUUUUCCCUAUUUGCCAAAACUAUUCAAAAUGAAAAAUGUUAGGGUUUUUUUUUUUUUUAAUGUUAAAAAUGGGGAUUUAAUAACUUGAAAAAAAAGAAGAUUGUUUGAAUGAAAAUCAGUUAAUUUUACCAUGAAAUGGUGUGAUAAACCGUAUAUUGUUUGGGGUGUUAGAAUGUUUAAUAAUAAAACUUAUAAAAAAUCAAUGGAACUAUUCAUAGUGUCAAUUUCAACUUUAAUUCAAACUUUGCAAUUAAUAUAAUUCCACUCACUUGUAAAUUUUGUAAUGGGUACUUUAUGACCACACGGUGUCGUUUAGUGAGAAAAAGUAAAAAGGAAAAGUUGCCUUCAUCUAGACAUAAACCUAAACAAAUGUUUGGUUGAUAUCAACCACAAAACAGAUGUUUAAUAAAGUGCAAACUCAAGGUAAUCGUGUGUUAGAAAGUGACCCAAUAAUUUAUGUUAAUAGUAAUAAAAAAUACAUGCAACUUAUUUUUACUUUAAGUAAUUGCAUUAGUUAAUAUUGUAAAGAAAAUGAAAGAAAUUUAGUUACAAGUGAAGAAGCAUGAACUAUUAAUUUACUAUCCCAUGGUUUAUUUUUAUUGGAUCAAGAUAUGCACAAAUUGAUGAAAAAAGUCAAAAUGUAAAAGGGUGAAUAUGGACAAAGAUUGUAUUAUUUACCCUUUUUCUUCUUCUUCUUGGACAGGGUCUUGCUUCAUUAUCAAUAACAUCCUACAUAUUUCUGGUGAGACCUAAAGGAUGUGGUGAUGAACAUACACCAUGCAAUUCUCAUUCUUCCCUCCAUAUUGCUCUGUUCUACCUCUCAGUUUACUUGGUUGCUCUUGGCAAUGGAGGUUACCAACCCAAUAUAGCUACAUUUGGGGCAGAUCAGUUUGAUGAAGAAGACCCUAAAGAAGGCCAGUCUAAGAUUGCUUUCUUCAGCUAUUUCUACUUGGCAUUGAACCUUGGUUCCCUAUUCUCCAACACAAUUUUGGGUUAUUUUGAAGAUGAAGGAAUGUGGGUUCUUGGGUUUUGGGCUUCUACAGCUUCUGCUGCCUUGGCUUUGCUCUUGUUCCUCUGCGGAAUCCCUAGAUACAGACAUUUCACUCCUAAAGGGAACCCCCUCUCUAGGGUUUCUCAAGUGGUGAUUGCAGCUACUAGGAAAUGGAAGGUUCAGAUGAUACCUAAUUCAGAGGGAUUGUUUGAUGAUGAUGACAAGGAAUUGGCUAGCAAUGGAGCUAGGAGAAUUCUUCAUACCAAUGGGUUCAAGUGAGUUUCUUAAUCAAUUUCCGUUUCAGAGUUUUGAUUGUUUGAUUGAUUUCAGGAGAAAUGAAAGUAAUGUGUGUACGUGUGCUUUUGUCGUUAUCUACAGAUUUUUGGAUAAAGCAGCAGUAAUUACCUCGUCGGAGUAUGACCAAUUAGACGACGGAGCUCGGAAUCCAUGGCGUUUAUGCACGGUUACUCAAGUCGAAGAAGUCAAAUGCAUUCUCAGACUCCUCCCGAUUUGGCUUUGCACGAUUCUCUACUCCGUC